RNA transcript from Bactrocera neohumeralis, 1914 nucleotides. RefSeq lists it as uncharacterized. The transcript is spliced from 4 exons. Lineage: Eukaryota; Metazoa; Arthropoda; Insecta; Diptera; Tephritidae. The record is from RefSeq and is a predicted model, not a curated record.
CAUGCAGUUCAGUGAAGAGUAUCAAAUACAUUUGCAAAUAUGUUAAUAAAGGAAGUGAUGUGGCUGCUUUUAUUUUUGGAAAUACUAAUGUAAAUGCUCCUCCGUUGAAUGAAAAUGACGAAAUUACGAAUUACCAAAUAGGCCGGACUUCAAAUGAAGCUGUUUUGUAUUUUCGGUUUCUCAAUUCAUGAACGGGAUCCAGAAGUCAUCCAUUUAAUCAGGUACAACAGUCUAACGAUAUCAUUCAGUGAUGCAAUGUACAAUGAAUCAUUGAUUGCUAUCGAGGAUCUUUGCUUUGCUAAUCGAAGUGCAUCUGUUUUACUCAACACAUACAUAUAUGAAUCGUGAACUACAGUACAAUGCUGUGGAAAUGGCAGGCAUUGUUAUUCGCAAUGUUCCAUUACUAAAUGAUGAACAAAAAAUUGUUUACGACCGCAUUAUGAUGGCAGUUUCGGCAGGACAAGGAGGAUUCUUUUUUUUUGGAUGCACCAGGUGGAACUGGCAAAACGUUCCUUAUAUUGCUACUUAUUGCCGAGAUACGCUCAAAAAAUGGCAUCGCAUUGGCCGUUGCUUCUUCUUAAAUUUCAGCAACUUUGUUCGAUGGAGGCAGAACAGCUCAUUCAGCAUUUAAGCUGCCGUUGAACAUUCAAAAUAAUCCAGAUGCAGUGAGCAACAUAAAAAAUUCAUUGCAUUCCAUGUAUAAUAUCAGGGUAUUUCCGAAUAGAGCAAUGUUCUCGCAAACGGAUCACUGACGAAAGUUGAGAAAAAACUCGUCAAUGUUAACAUUAACAUAAACACGUAAAUAGCAUGGUUUGAAUUUGGUUAGCAUUCUCAUUAAUGUUUAAAAUGAAAAAAGUUGUUGUAGUGACAUAACUACAAUAGUUGGACAUAUGCUACCGCUGAGUUUUUUGUAGACAUUGGGUCUCUUGCAUAAAAACGAGUAAAAGCGCUGAGUUGAGUCAAGUGAGCAAUUGCUCGUAAGUCGAGUUCGAUCAAACAGCAACAGCUCUUGCUCAAUUUCGUAUGCAUAAAAAUUAGUUCAAACCAAUUACAAUGACUUGAGUAAACGGAGAUCAAACCUCUAAGUGCAAACAUGUCGUCAAGUGGAAGUGAGUUUGAAGUAGAGCUAAAAAAUAAUAAUAAGAUGGAAAUUGACGAUAUUUCAAAAUUUUUAGUAGAAAAAAAAAAGAAAAUAAAUAUUUGCUCAAAAAAAGUCAGUUACCAAGUAUAAAAAGUAAAAAAAAACAAGCAAUAGAAAUAUGUGUGAAGGAAAUUUGGCAAAAAUUUGGAAUUGAACUGUCGGAGAAAAACAUUAUAAAAAAAUAGCAAACAUGAAAUGCCGGGUCAAAAGUAAAAUAGACAUAAAUAAAACAGGCAACAAAAAGAUUAUUUUAAAAAACUGGGAAGCAGAAUUAUCCUCAUUGCUUUGUUCGGAUUGUAAUCCCUCAACAAACAAACUUCCUGUUCAUCUUUUUCUUGGAAGCAAUGGCGACAACUGUACGCUGUCUGUCAAUACAUUAGAAGAGACAUCAGCAACAACAACAUCAGAAACAAAAACCACAGCAACAUCAGCAGCAGAAGAGCAAAGAAAGCGCCGUUGCACUGAUAGCGACGAUCAAACUGUUAACAAAAAGUCAACAGCAGUUUUGAGUCGUUAUGAGACUGAUGAGACAAGGCAGUUAAAUUUUCAAAGUCUGCAGAGGCUUGUUUUCUUAAAGCAAAACAAAGUUCUUUCCGCAAAAUUACAGAUUUUGUAAGAAAAACUUGGGGAAAGAGGGUUGGAGUUCCCUGAAUAAUUACAUUUAUUAAUAUAUAAUUAAUUGUUAUUAUAUUUUUGUGCAUUUAUUAUUUUUAUUCGUUAAAUAGUGAAUUACAUUAAUUUUGUUUUUGUAUAAAAAGGUGGAUUUUAUUAAU